This 425-nucleotide ribosomal RNA is filed under the name uncultured bacterium. Its description in RNAcentral is "partial 16S ribosomal RNA". It matches the Rfam family "Bacterial small subunit ribosomal RNA", at positions 354 to 796 of the family's 1533-position model. The record is from RNAcentral.
GUGGGGAAUCUUAGACAAUGGGGGAAACCCUGAUCUAGCCAUGCCGCGUGAGCGAUGAAGGCCUUAGGGUUGUAAAGCUCUUUCAGCUGGGAAGAUAAUGACGGUACCAGCAGAAGAAGCCCCGGCUAACUCCGUGCCAGCAGCCGCGGUAAUACGGAGGGGGCUAGCGUUGUUCGGAAUUACUGGGCGUAAAGCGCGCGUAGGCGGACCAGAAAGUUGGAGGUGAAAUCCCAGGGCUUAACCUUGGAACUGCCUUCAAAACACCUGGUCUGGAGUUCGAGAGAGGUGAGUGGAAUUCCGAGGGUAGAGGUGAAAUUCGUAGAUAUUCGGAGGAAAACCAGUGGCGAAGGCGGCUCACUGGCUCGAUACUGACGCUGGGGUGCGAAAGCGUGGGGAGCAAACAGGAUUAGAAACCCUGGUAGUCC